Molecule: ribosomal RNA, 512 nt
Filed under: uncultured bacterium
Lineage: Bacteria
Description: bacterial SSU rRNA
Rfam family: Bacterial small subunit ribosomal RNA
Source: RNAcentral
GAUGAACGCUGGCGGCGUGCCUAAUACAUGCAAGUCGAGCGAACAGAUAAGGAGCUUGCUCCUUUGAAGUUAGCGGCGGACGGGUGAGUAACACGUGGGUAACCUACCUAUAAGACUGGGAUAACUUCGGGAAACCGGAGCUAAUACCGGAUAAUAUCUAGAACCGCAUGGUUCUAAAGUGAAAGAUGGUUUUGCUAUCACUUAUAGAUGGACCCGCGCCGUAUUAGCUAGUUGGUAAGGUAACGGCUUAUCAAGGCGACGAUACGUAGCCGACCUGAGAGGGUGAUCGGCCACACUGGAACUGAGACACGGUCCAGACUCCUACGGGAGGCAGCAGUAGGGAAUCUUCCGCAAUGGGCGAAAGCCUGACGGAGCAACGCCGCGUGAGUGAUGAAGGGUUUCGGCUCGUAAAACUCUGUUAUUAGGGAAGAACAAAUGUGUAAGUAACUGUGCACAUCUUGACGGUACCUAAUCAGAAAGCCACGGCUAACUACGUGCCAGCAGCCGCGGUA